AUUACCUUCGAAUUUAUAAUAUUAGUAUGGAUUAAUAUGAAUUUCUGCUAUAAGAGGUAUGCGAGUUUGAGCUCUUUCUUGAAAUGGUAUGCAGGAAAAACUAAUUGAAUAAUCUUUAAAAAGAUGGUAUAUAUUUGCAGGGUGGCCAGUAUUUCUGAAUUGAUGUAAUAUGAAAGACCACCAGGCACUAUCAAAAGUCUUGGGAGAUAUCAAGACUGGUGGCCAAAAUGUAUUUAUCAUCAUCAAGGAGGUAUUUCACAUUUUCUACAGCAUGGUAUAUGGUGUCUUCAGAUGAUCUUUGUUGCUGGAAUCCAUAUUAUGUGUCAUGCAUUAAUGUGUUAUAUUCAACAUACCAGGUUAGUCGGUCAGUUAAUAGACAUUCCAGUACCUUACCAAAGAUGGGCAAUGAGGAUAUAGGUCUGGAUUCAUUUGGCUGACCAGGUUUUGGCACAGAUUAUUUUUGCAAGUUUCCAGUCUUCUGGGAAUAUUCCUUGGGUUAGGCAGCAGUUAUACAUAUUUGUGAGUUGACCGGGGAUCAUUUUCCAGGUGGUCUUUGCAAUUUUUGUGUCUAUUUUGUCUAGUCUAGGAGCUUUUCCUUUUAAUUUAGAGAAGGCAAAGUUCAUUUCUUCAUGCUCAAAAGCUGGGGAGUUGUCAGUUAGGAUUGGUGUGUCCAUCUCCUUUUGCAAAGCCUGCUGCCAUGGUGUAUCAUUUUCCUCACUAUCUUUAAUACGGAAAGAGUCAUCUGCUUUUUCUAGUAUGUUAAAGAGGUUGCUGUUUGAUGUUUUCUCAUCAUUUGUGGUAAGAAUUUGCAUUUUUCUAAGACUGUUCAUACACAAUUUAGUGAGAUAGCCCCACAGAUUUGAAGAUGCCAAAGUGCAGAAUUCUCUCCGGGAAUGUAUUUUAGCAGUUUUAAUUUUUUGUUUGUAUAUUUUUUGAUGUUCAAGAUAUUGUUGUUUUAUUACUGUACGGUUGGACUCUAUUCUUGCAUUUCCACAAGAAUUGUACAUUUACCACUUGCCGAAAAGUAAGAUUUCAAGUUGACAAAGCCUUCUAAUGGCAAGCAAGAACAAGCCUUAUUUGCAAUGAUUGCUGAUAAAUGGUAUAUAUAUAUAUAUAUAUUUUUACAGAAUGUUUGGACAGUCAAUACAGUCUUAAGAAGAAGGAAUUUAAUUUUCCAAACAAAUUAUGAUAUUUGCUCCAUCAGAGGCCAUACCUAUUGUUCUUGAUAGUUAUGUUUUUUUCUUGGAGACACUUUUUAAAUGAAGAGUAUAGCAUUUCUGCAGUACAGUCCUUUGCAUCAAUGAUAAGCAGUUACAGCAAAUCUGUUUUGACAUUUCCUGUUGGUGAAACAUAUUUUAUCAAAAUGCAAAGAAAUUUGGUUUGUGAAAUGUCAGUGAACUCAUCAAGUAGAACAGUCGGUUAUGCUUGCCUUAGAUUAUAAAGGAUCUCUUCAAGUUCCAUCUUUGCAAUUACAUUGUUUACAAUUGCAGUGCAUUUUGUGUGUCAAAGUUCUAUAUUUUUGAUGAUUUGUGUCAGAAGCAAUAUCUUUAAGUAGAGGAACUAGAUGAUCCACUACUUUCAGAGCUACGUUGUUCAGCAAAAAACAUUUGCCAAUUUUAUUUCUGCAAUCUUCACCUUUACUUCUAGGAAAAGUUGUGUCUGCUUUUUGAUGAGAGUUGUCUUGAAAACAAUCUGUGGUGUCUUCUGAACCUGCUUCACAUUAUUGAUGUGUUUAACACUUUUGGUGUGCUUUUUUCACUUUUUCCAACAUUAAGGUCUUGUUACAAGCAACACAAAUUUUCACAUUGGUUAGCAAUUAAAAAUAUAAUAAACUUUAAAUACCAGAGAAGUUUGCCCAUUUUUCAGAUUUUAUUUAAGUAGGUGCAAUGAUGAGAUACAUCUUUCGGGACCUAUAAAUAAUGCAGACAAAUUCCCAAUGUAUUCUGAGCACCUAACAUUAUCAUAUUAUAUAUCAAUAACAAUUGAAAAUAUCAAUUAUUUUGAUAAUUUUAUAUAAAUUUUAACUGUUUCAGGUUGUUUCACUAUUAGUGAUUGAAAGUUCCAGUAUUUCUAUUUCACACUGAACCUACUUUUUACAAAAGUAAUGGUUUUUAUCAAUAAUACUUGAACAAUCUUGAAUAUGUACUGUGCCAGUGAACCUAGUUUUUGUAAAAAGUAAUGGUUUUUAUCAAUAAUACUUGAACAAUCUUGAAUAUGUACUGUGCCAGUGAACCUAGUUUUUGUAAAAAGUAAUGGUAAGUGUUAAUUUUAAUUAUAUGUUAUGGACUGAGUGAUUAAUACGGGCAUUAUGAAUAAUGACAAACAAAAUUGGGCACUGUAAUAAAUAUCAGGUGUUUUAACAUAAUUUAUCAAAUUGACCAGUCAUGAAUACUGCUAUCACCUAGUGAGGCAAAGUGAUGAUAAUACGUUGAGGAGUGAUCACUCAAUAUAUGCUAGCCAUGUAAAGUACUAUAUUAUU
This 2479-nucleotide long non-coding RNA is filed under the name Centruroides sculpturatus (bark scorpion). RNAcentral's name for it is "uncharacterized LOC111636821, transcript variant X3". Lineage: Eukaryota; Metazoa; Arthropoda; Arachnida; Scorpiones; Buthidae. The record is from RNAcentral.